Gallus gallus (chicken) is the source of this 2350-nucleotide long non-coding RNA. RefSeq lists it as uncharacterized. The record is from RefSeq and is a predicted model, not a curated record. The transcript is spliced from 3 exons. NCBI's taxonomy places the organism in Eukaryota, Metazoa, Chordata, Aves, Galliformes, Phasianidae.
AGAAGUGGACUGACAAGAACCCUGUGUAGUUCAUCACAGGGAAGUGCAAAGUCCUACACCUGGGAGGAAACCACCCCAGGCACCUGUACAUGCUGGGGGCCGCUCAGCUGGAAAACAGCCUGACACAAAACCUGGUGGACACCAAGUUGACCAUGAGCUAGUAAUGUGCCCUUACUGCAGAUAAAGCUAAUGGUAUCCUAGCAUGCAUUGACAGCACGUGAUAUUUCCCCUUCUGUUCAGCACUGGUGAGGACACACUUGUUCUAUGCUACAAGAGAGACAUGGACAAAGUGGAAAAAAUCCAACAAAGGGCAAUGAAGAUGAUGAAGGAACUGGACAACCUGUAAGGAGCUCCUGUAACAAAAGGCCAAGAGGGCUGGGUCUGUUCAGGCUGGGGAAGAAGCAGCUCAGGUGGAUCUCAUCAGUGUCUAUAAAUACCUGAAGGGAGCAUGCAAAGAGCCAGGCUUUUUUCAGUGAUGCACAGUACCAGGACAAGAGGUAAUGGACACAGACUGAAACAUGGAAGAUUCCCUCUGUAUAUCAGGAAACAUUUAUUUAGUGUGCAGGUGAUCAAGAAUUGGCACAGGUUCCCCAGAGAGGUGGUGGAAUCUAUCACUGGAGGCAUUUGGACAUGGUUCUGGAACACUGGCCAUAUCAGAGGUCAAAUCGGAGAUUAGGAAGGUUUCUUUCUCAUAUAAAACCUCUCUAAUACUGGUUCAGAGAUGGUAAGGACUUCCAGGAGCCACCUGUGAUCAACUGCAUAAGCAAAGAUACUAAAGACUAACUGGAAGGUGUGCUACAAAAUGUGGAACAAACUGAACUCUGCUGUUGCAUGCGCUUUCAUGUAGUGUCAUACCUUUUAUGAUGAUACAUCAUCACAAGUAUUCAACGGCAGAAUAAAAUUAGGGAGAUAAUUAUUUUUUCUUAGGCAAACUGCUAUAUUGUCAACUGCCAUUUGGCCAUCAUACAAAAAGUUUAUCCCCAGCAUAUGGUAGUGCUAUGUUGAGCUAUGAUGUACGGUACAGCAGGUCAGAAGAAAGAAGAAGGACCUAUGGGGCCAGACUGGGCAGAGUUGCUUGCUUCCUGGAAAAAGGGAAGCACCCAGCACCUAGCAGCCCUCUUCUGUGUGCCUGGAUUUCAGUUUCUACAGACAUAGGCAUAAAAACAUGCAGGAUACAGAUGCUUGAAGACAAAAUUCUGACAAAUUUGCCUGCAGUUUGCAGAGGAUGGAGUCUGGAAAAAGGUCCUUCGACAUUCAUAUUUAAAGCACAAAUAAUUUCAUAUACAGUCUCUGAGACCAUGAAGUAAAAGAGGAUCCUUUCUGGAAUGUAACCCCUCAAGUUACCUGUACCUGCAAUAGUGUUUAGAGAGAACCCUGAAGAGAUUAAGAAGCUGUUUUCUCUUCUUCUAAGACACAGAAAAGAGGAUAUUGGAAGAUACCAUGCCACCAUUAUUAUUUUCCAUUUGGGGAAAGGCUGAAGCCCUGUGCCCAACCGAGAUGAGAUGCAGCUGUCUCAGACCAGGACAAGGUGAAUCACUGACCCCACAUAGAACAGCAAGACUCCCUCCCACUGAACUCAGCAGGAAGGCAAAGCAGUGCUGAUCACAUCUGCUUCUGGGAGAUACUGGGGUUCCAGUUUUUGUAGACAUAAACUGCAGACCUGAAGACUAUGAAAGGAAACAACAGCUGACAUACCAUACCGUACAGCUGGGCAGUACUGGGAAGAUUUGUGAAGUGAGGCAGGUUUUUCUGGGGCCUUGUUUGCUGUGUCCUGCAAUCCAGCAGGCUCUGCCAGUCCUAGAGAUGGCCCCAAGCAGCUCAAGGCAGCAGCAUGCUCUGGCAAAGUCUUGCCAGAAGUCUGCAUUGCCUUUGUCCAGCUGCAAGGGAGUCACACCAGCUGGUGCCAACAUUUCACAGUUGCUAGGAAUAUGUUACACUCAGUAGAGUAACCCAACACAGGUUGUUGUGGAAGCAUUACUUAUUGUGUAUAACCUUUCCAAAGACCAAAGUGGAUUUUGUAUCCUAAGGCCCUGUAGUUAUUUCUACCUUGUACCUGUGCUGUUUCUGCAGCACCACAACAAAACAUGACUUGUAAUACAUGGAUUUCAGCAGGAUUCAAUGUACUAUAUUAAAUACCGUACAGUCUCACUGUAGCAUGCAACAGUACUAAUGCACAACUUGUUCAAUUACAUUCACUUUAAGAAGCCAUUAUAUCCCCAAUGGUCAGAGGGACUAAUGGGAUCCAUCCUCCUUGUUAAGCCCAAGGCACUUACAUACAGAAAAAAAAUCUCUUGAGCAAGUUUGUAUGUCUAGUUUUCUCAAAAUAAAGCAUUUUUUCUUUGCAAAUCAA